RNAcentral lists this long non-coding RNA (1121 nucleotides) under Elaeis guineensis (African oil palm). Its description in RNAcentral is "long non-coding RNA (EGUI_LNC047457)". The record is from RNAcentral. Lineage: Eukaryota; Viridiplantae; Streptophyta; Magnoliopsida; Arecales; Arecaceae.
AUAGUGAUAUAAAAUAUACAUUUGCUAUGUACUACAUGUGUCAUAUAUAAUAAUUUAUGAAUCAACUACAUGUAGAUAUUUAUUAUUGCAUAAAGAUUUUGCUGUGGAGGCAUGCUGAAUCUUUUCUAUUUUAUUUUAUUUAUCCAGAGAGAGAGAAAUGGGGAGAGAUCCCUCCAUAUUAUAAUUAAGAGAAAUGGGGAGAGAUCCCUCCAUAUUAUAAUUAUCUAUCUCUAGAUUUACGGAGAUACACUAUCUUAGUAGAGGAGUGCAUGGGAGCGGGACCACCUAGGCAGGCCCAAGAUCAUCACUGGUGAUCACCAUUAAUUUGUCAUUACACUUAACACUUCAGGAAUACACGGUAAGUACAUCCCACUAAUCAUUAGAGGUGCAGCAGGAGAGGGAUGUCUAGGUUAGAGGCCCAUAAAUCCACUUGACCAUAAAUUAAUCUUCACACCCAGAGGAACAAUAUGUACUCAAUCAUAUCCAAGCGAACCCUGAUGUAUGUACAUUUCAAUCCAGCACUCAACUUCAUUUGAGUCGAUCGAUUCAUGCUAGUUCGAUCGGAAUGUAUACUAAAACACUUUGAUCAUCAUUCCCAUAUUAUGAAGGUUUAGAGAGAUCAAUUCCUAGGGAGAUCCGAUUUAUGUGGAUCCAGGGCACUAGAACAAUGGAUUACAUAUGAAGAGAUCAAGACUCUUUCUAGUCCUAGCUCAAUCCACCUUUGGGCCCAACAAGUUUCGGUCAAUUCGGCCUAUUUGGAUCAACAUUUUCCAAUGUAUGAACUAACGUUGGAAAAUUCUUUGAUUCUCGGCUAUUACAAAGGUGGUGGGUCUUCUGACGUGCAGGUGGAAUCAACUCCUGUUGUUGAGGUUCCGGCAGAAGCGCCGGCCGCCCCAGCAGAAGCCGAACCUGCGCCUGCACCGCCUGCUGAGCCAGUAGUAGCUGAGGCCGAGCCCGCCGCUCCCGCCGUCGAGGAGUCCAAGGAAGAAGCCCCAGCCGUAGCACCAGAGGAGGCCACCCCAGAAGCACCACCAGCGGAGCCCGAGGAGAAGCCUGUCGAAGAGCCUGCAGUCGAGGCAUCAACCGAGGCUGAACCAGUGGCUACGGAGCCAAAAGAAGAA